CUCCGGUUGAUCCUGCCGGACCCGACUGCUAUCGGAUUGAGAUUUAGCCAUGCGAGUCGAACGUCCCCCUGUUGCGGGGGGCGUGGCGUACGGCUCAGUAACACGUAGUCAACCUGCCCUGGAGACAAGGACAACCCCGGGAAACUGGGAUUAAUCCUUGAUAGGUCAUCUCAUCUGGAAGGAGAGAUGGCUUAAAGGGGUACGCGGGCUUCUUCCGCGAAUUCGCUCCAGGAUGGGACUGCGUCCGAUCAGGCUGUUGGCGGGGUAAUGGCCCACCAAACCUGUAACCGGUACGGGCCUUGAGAGAGGUGGCCCGGAGAUGGACACUGAGAGAAGGGUCCAGGUCCUACGGGGCGCAGCAGGCGCGAAACCUUCGCAAUGCGCGAAAGCGUGACGAGGUUAAUCCGAGUGACUCCCGCUUAGGGGGUCUUUUGUCAGCUGUAAAUAGGCAGGCGAAUAAGGGGAGGGCAAGCCUGGUGUCAGCCGCCGCGGUAAUACCAGCUCCUCGAGUGGUCGGGGCGAUUAUUGGGCCUAAAGCAUCCGUAGCCGGUUCCGUAGGUCCUCUGUUAAAUCCAACCGCUUAACGGUUGACCUGCAGAGGAUACCGCGGGACUAGGAGGCGGGAGAGGCGGACGGUACUCCGCGUGUAGGGGUAAAAUCCUUUGAUCCGCGGAAGACCACCAGUGGCGAAGGCGGUCCGCCAGAACGCGCUCGACGGUGAGGGAUGAAAGCUGGGGGAGCGAACCGGAUUAGAUACCCGGGUAGUCCCAGCCGUAAACGAUGCUAGCUAGAUGAUUCAUUCGCAAGUCGCGAAUGAAGUGUCGCAGGGAAGCCGUUAAGCUAGCCGCCUGGGGAGUACGGUCGCAAGACUGAAACUGGAAGCCGGGUCCACGCUUUA
This 898-nucleotide ribosomal RNA is filed under the name uncultured archaeon. RNAcentral's name for it is "bacterial SSU rRNA". It matches the Rfam family "Archaeal small subunit ribosomal RNA", at positions 1 to 883 of the family's 1478-position model. The record is from RNAcentral.